AUGACAGUGUCAUUGUGAAAGCCUUGUGGAUCACACUCCCUUUAUCCAGUGUAUGGAUGAUGUUCUCAGGUGUUGCCAUCAAACAGUCUGGGAUGGGGGAUGUGCUGAGAAGAGAUGGAAACUUCAUCGACGGCACAAGGACUUCUGAGCUCUUCUCCUCUCCACUCCCUGCACCACCUGGAGUCUGACUCAGGUGGAUUCCAGGGAUGCUCAGAAGGCAACUUCUCCCCUCACCGCCACCCCCUCCCAGCCACCCGCCCCCUUAAUGCCCAACCCCCAGGUCAGCCAACUCUGCCCCGCUCAAGCCCUGGCUCCUCCCAGGCAGCUGAGUCAGGUCAGAAUCCGAGAGCAGAGCAGUGGCGCCCCCGUGUGGCCACAGGGCAGAGUUCAGAAAAACCGAGUGUCCCUUUUCCCUCAGUGAAGACCUUCCCGAGGCCUCCCUGGGCUCCCAGCGUCCGGACAACUGUCUGCACAGAAAGGGGCGCCCCCAUUCCAGGGCACUUUUGAGGUGUGUCUACGCUGAUGUAGAUGUUUCAUCCUAUGGAGUCACCAUGGACUUUGGCUUCUGGGCAGAGCAAGGUCUGCAAACCCUACUAUCUGGUUCCCAGGUCCAGGGUGGACCUCACAAAUGUAUGAGGUGCCCCAGUACCAAUCUCAGUCUCCUGCAAAGGUCUCUGGACUCCCAAGUCCCUGACACUUAUUCCUGCUGCUGCUUCCAGGGAUGAAGACACCAUUCAGGAACCAACCAGUGAUGACUCUCCAACUCUAGGAUUUCGGGGGGAAGGGGGAGGAGAGAGCCCCCGUGGCAUUGGGCUAGGACCAAGGGAAGGUGCCCAGUGAAGUGAACAAAGGGAGGAAAAUAGGGACACUUGGUGGGUGGAGGUGAGAAGAAGUGGGUGGGAAGGAGCCAGAGAGGAAGGGGGGAUGACUUAGUGGACCAGUGAGGAGAGGGAUGGGGCCUUUUUGGUCAGGGGCACAGGGAGCUUCUGGCUAGGGUGAUGAUAGAGGUCUCUAUUUUCACCUGGAAGGUAAUUACACAGGUCUUAGUCCUUUACUUGAUGAAUAAGCUAUUAAAUGUUGAACAUUUUUCUGUAUUUAGAGGUAUGGUAUAAUGCAAACACAUGCGCACGUGCACACACACAGAAGAAAAAAAGGGAGAAAGAGGAUGAGGAUGAGAAGUGAUUAAUGUGGUUUCCCUUCACCCAGAGCAGCCUUUGCUAAGUCUGGGUGGCUGGGACAUCAAUGACUGGAGAGGAGGGGAGAGCAAGGCCUGUGCAGCUCCUGGAGGGCCAGCUGGUCCCUCCUUCUGGGAUUCUCAGGGUCUUAUUCUCUUUCAGCCUCUUUCAAGUCCAGUCCUCAGCUACCUGGAGGGCACUUCAUCUCCUAAGACAGCUGGGCCGCUAUGCCAAGAAGAGCAGCAUCAGGGCUCAGUUCCAGGAGCUGGCCCUGUUGCUGGCUGCCCUGGAAACAGUGGUUCUGGAGGGCAGAGGGCAGGAUGGAGCACGGAGGCUGGAAACCACAGUGGCUUACAGGGUGAUACGCGAUAAGACUGGCCUGGACUUCUGUCUAACGUACCCCCUGAACCCGAGGGCUGCCCCUCUCUGCAUCCCCAGACCUCCGGGGCCUAGGCACCCGGCCAUCAGCCCCCUGGACACCAAGGGUGGACCUUCCCCAGCAGGCCUGGGAGUGCAGGAGCCCGGCACCCUGUGUCUUUUCUUCAUGGACCUAAGCUGUCUAGACCACCCCAGGCCGUGCCUUUGUUUCAAAACCGUUUGCGGAAACUUUCAACCAUUUGUUCAAAAGACUCUUUUCCCACAUUGAAUUAUAUUGAAGCCAUUUUCAUGAGCAUAUAUGUAACCAUAUCUAUCUAUCUAUACAUAUAUGGUUCUAUUUAUGUACUCUUCAUUGUAUUCCAUUGAUCUAUGACUGUCCUUAGGUUGGUUCCUAGAGGUUUACCAUAAGUUUUGAAAUCUGAUUCUGUGGAUCCUCCAAAUAUCUUCUUAAAACCAUUUUGGCUAUUCAAAAUCUUUUUGUUUCCUUAUACAUUGUCAAUUUCUUUUUAAAAGCCUGCCAUGAUUUUGAUUGGAAUCACAUUUAAAUUAUAAGCCAAUUUUGGGAGAAUUUAUACCUUAACAAUGAAUAUUCCAAUCCUUGACAUGGUAUUUCUCAACAUGUACACAGAUUGUCAUUACUUACUCUCAGUGGUGCUUUGUAGAUUUGGGUGUGGAGAUCUUGCACACUUUCUUUAAAGUGAUACCUUAUUAUUUGGUCAUAUUCAUGCCAUUGUAAAUUGAAUUUUUAAUUUUCAUUUUUCUAAUUUUACUUUGUGUGUAGAAGUGAAAUUGAGUUUGUAUAUUUUCCUUGUACCCUGCAAUCUUGCUAUAUUUACUUACUAGCCCAGGAACAUUUUUGCCUUAGGAUUUUCUAUGUACAUGUUCAUGUCACCUGCAAAAUGAGAUACUUUCACUUCUCUUUUGUAAUCUGCAUACCUUUUAUUUUGUUUGCUUGGCAGUAUAUUGUGUAAUAGAAAUGGCAAGAGUCCACAUCCUUGCCUUAUUGUUGAUCUUAGGCAGAAAGUAGUCAGUCUUUCACCAUACAAUAUGACCAUAGCUGUAGAAUUUUCAUAGGUGCCCUUUCUCAUCUUGAAGAAGUUGCCUUCUAUUCCUAGUUUACUGAGAAAUAUUAUUAUCAAAGGAUGGUGAAUUUUUAAAUGCUUUUUCUGCAUGGAGAUGAUCCUAUGGUUAUUCUCAUUUAUUCCAUUAAAAUAAUAAAUUAGAUCAAUUCUCAUAUAUUCAUCCAGACUUCCAUCAGAAAUAAAACUUUCUUGGUCAUGA
Long non-coding RNA from Choloepus didactylus (southern two-toed sloth), 2834 nucleotides. RefSeq lists it as uncharacterized. The transcript is spliced from 2 exons. Lineage: Eukaryota; Metazoa; Chordata; Mammalia; Pilosa; Megalonychidae. The record is from RefSeq and is a predicted model, not a curated record.